AAUUAUGUAUCUAAUGUACUUUACAACAUAAAUACAGAAGCUUGUAAGGACCCAUCUCAACCAAACGAACACAAAACCCAAGCGCACACUUAUGACUUAUGACUUUAAACUUCUUCUAUUUAACACCCCAAAAACCCAAAUCCCCAUAUUCAAACUUCAUCAAAAAAACUCCCAAAAUCCCCCUUCAAAUUCAGAAACCCAUUUUCACAAACCUCCUUAAACUUAAAUAAAAAGCCUCCUCAUUUCCAAAUCCCAUGGCCAAAAUUUGCCUUCUUUUCUGCCUCAUUGUGGGCGAGAUCUUCCUAAUUCAAGCAAUCACGACUUCGAUUGCUACAACAACAGAGCUCCCUCUGUCGGUGGCGCCAGAGUCAUCGGAGAAGGGGACCAGAGAAGGGUCUGAAGUGGCGGAGGCGCCGGAGAUCCGGCGGUUGGGAAAGCACCAUGGCGAUAAGUCGAUGGCCGGUGGGGGAGUCAUUAUCGGUGGCCUUGUAACGGCAGUUUUUGCAGCUGUUUUUUGUUACAUUCGGGUUACUAGAAAAAGAGAUGGGGUUGAUUCGGUUCAUUGAGACUGAUCCUAAUUUCUACUCUUUUUUUUUUUCUUUUUUCUUUUUUCUUACACAAACCUUUAUAUAUAUAUAUAUACAUAAACAUAUUCUUUUGUUUUUUUGGAGGAAAUUUUAGAGAUUGUGGUUGAGUGAUGAGUUCAUAGAGAGAAAAAGAUCCCAAUUUCCAAAUAAAGAGUAUACCUUCUUUUGGACAGAAUAUUGAAGUGAAAUUCUAAACUAUUUGGAGGUCUUGUGAGAAUAUUCUAAUUUGUUUACAUAAAAGCCGUAAAGGUCAAGUUCCAAUUAGUUGUGAAACCUAAAAACGCGGAAGAUUUUAAAUCUUGGAAGUCCAAAGGGCGAAAGCUUCGUUCUUUUUGGAAAAAGUUUUUCUUAGACAAAAUUUUUAUAUUUAAUAUGCGAGAUUGAAAGCAUACGUUUAAUAGCUAUGUUCAAUCCCACUUUAAAAAAAAAAAGAAUAUUUACUUUUAAUACAAAACACGUGUCAAUUACUAUUAUAGUUAGCUUUAUAAACAUUAUAAAUAUAUGUGUUAAAUAGAUGUCUAUUAUCAAGUGUGAAAAUAUGACCAUUUUAUUUGUUAUUCAUCUCUUCCAACGUAACAUUUAAUUAAUGUUCACGUAACCCACCACUUAUUUAUCAUUUUAUGUAUAAAGAGAGGUCUUCAAUGGAUCUUUUAUAAGUACAUGCAACAUCGGUUGAAAUUUCAAAGGUUUUUGUUUUUUUAUACAAAAUUUAUUUAAUAAUUUUGUUAUUUAUUAGGUAUUAUAUUAUAUUUAUGGAAUUUAAUAAGGUUUAAGGCCCAAUUCUUAUUGGGUCUUAUCCACUAAAGAAGUAAUUGGGCUUAGGGCCUCUCUCGAUAUCAAAGCUUCCCACCAAAAAGCAGGUGAAAGAAAUACCAUUCUCCUUCUUCUGCUUCUGAUUUGUGUGCAGAAUUUCAAUUUUGAAUUCAAUCGAUCAAAAUGGCCAAGUGUUCGUUCGAAUGGUGGCAUGCACCCAUCGUCUUCUCCAUCUCUGUUGUUUUAGCCUUCUUCGCCAUUUCCACAGCUCUCCACUCAUCUACUUCCCACUCUCCAACUCCACCCAACAAAUCCAUGGCCGAUGAUCUUUCUUUAAACGCAUCAAGAGCCUUAAGACGAGCCGGUUUCAACACCAUUGCCACACUCCUUCAAGUCUCCCCUGAACAUUUUUUCUCCCCUCAAAACUCCACCAUUUUCGCCAUAAAAGAUUCCGCCAUCUCCAAUACCUCCCUCCCUCCAUGGCUCCUCAAGAAUCUUGUCCAAUACCACACUUCCCCUGUCAAGCUUUCCAUGGCUGACCUGUUAAAGAAGCCUCGAGGGGUCUGUCUCCCGACCCUUCUGAUGCCAAAGAAAAUUGCUAUCACCAAAAUGGAUUCCACUGCUAGAUUGGUUGAGAUCAAUCAUGUUCUUGUCACUGACCCUGAUAUUUUUCUUGGUGGAAAUGUUUCCAUUCAUGGUGUUCUUGGCCCAUUUUCUCCUUUGGAUCCUCUUGAUCUUCGUCAGGGAUGGAGCUUCAUUCAAUCACCGUACUGUGAUACGAAUGCUACCAUGAUUUCAGAUCCUUUUGAAACCAAUAAUGGGGUUGUUGGAGUUGGAGUUGAAGUCGAAUGGAGAAGAAUCAUAAGGUGGCUUAGUGCAAAUGGGUUUAUUUCUUAUGCAAUCGGAUUACAAACCGUUCUUGAAGGGCUUCUUCAAGAUUUCGAAGGAUUGAGAUCGAUUACUGUCUUUGCGCCGCCGAAUUUAUCCUCUGUUGCAUCUCCAUCGCCUGUUCUGAAUCGAGCUGUGAGGCUUCAUAUUGUUCCUCAAAUGGUUACAUACAAAUCCCUCGCUUCGUUGCCGACCAGAACUUCGCUCAAGACGCUCGUCUCCGGCCAAGAUAUCGAGAUCCUCGGAGGAGUUCGUGUUCCGAGAGGAACGGUGAAAGUUAACGGCGUGGAGAUUGUCUCGCCGGAGAUUUUCCGAUCAGAGAACUGUGUAAUCCAUGGAAUUUCCCGGUCGCUUGAGAUCGCCGGUUUACCUCAUUCAUCGAGGUGAGAUCGCUUCAAUUAGUGAAAAUUCAACCCAUCCAUAGAACUAGAACAUCUGUUCUGAUUUGGAACUCAGAAUGUAAUAUACAAAAGAAUUUAAAAGGGAAUUCUGAACCUGCAUUUUCUAUACAAUUAGGAUUUCAUAUUGCACAAUAUCAAAACAAAAAAACAAAAACGAAAAGAAGGAAAUUAAGAAAUCGAAGGAAACAUUGUUGUAUCAAGAAGUUCUUUUCAUUAAAAUCCGAGUCAUUUUCAAUCCUGUUAACGUAACAUUGAUCGAAUUUACAAAUCGUGAUUUCAUAAACAACCCUACAAUCUCCUUAACUUCAUAAUCCCCACAUUCCUCAACAACAAUCACACAAACACCAUCAGGACGAACAGCUCUCUCCAUCUCAGAAACAAAUCGAGACGGAAACAAUGCCUCGGCCAAAUGAGCAGUAAACGCCAAAUCAAAAACAUGAUCAAAGAAAGGCAAAUUAUGAGGAUCAGCACGACUCACCAAAGGAGGCGAAUCAAUCAACUCGACACCGGUGACAUCGUGAACUCCCAUCUGAGACAACGCCAUGACCUCAUGGCCAGCGCCGGCGGAAACGCAGAUAACUUUGGUGUGGUUAUGGAGAAGACCUAGAUCUUGAAUGGAUUGGAAGAAAUGAAUGAAGGAGGAGAGCUUCUUCUUCCAGUCGUUGGAUGACCAAAGACGCUUGUUCUUCUUGUCAAUGGAGACGAGCUCCCGAGGAGUGGAAUCGCAGGAGGAUUUGGGGAAUUUGAGAUGGGGUUUUGAAGGAGAAUUUGGGGGAAUGCAGGUUUGUGGGGUUUGGAGGAAGAGGAUGAUGAGGGUGAGAGUGGCAAUGGCAAUGGAAGCAAAUGAAAGCUUGUUGAGAAAACGGCGAAUGUGGCGUUCCAUUGUUGAUUUGUCAAUGGAAGAAUUUUGGUUUCUGAAAUGAAAUUAUAUGCUUUGCCUUUGCCCAUCAUUCAAUUCUCUUUCCUGUUUGAACAUAAAAAACGAAGAACAUAUAAUUCUUUUUCUCUUUUCUUUUCCUUUUGUUUUCCAUUAUACGAUCGUAUCAUGAAUUUUCCCAAACAUAAUUUAUUUUCUAUUAAUCUUUUAGUUGAUAUCAAAGAUUCAAAUUUGGAUCAUGUAUUUAUUUAUGUAGGGGAUUUCUAAAAAAACAACAAAUAUAUUAUUCAAAAUAGGAGACACAUUUAAAAUAAAUUGGUGAGAGAAGUUCAACCAAUCAAAUAUUUUGAAGUAAUACUAUACAAAUAAAUUAGAUCAUGUGUUAUUUCCUUCAAAACCUAGUUCAUCAAUGUAAUUUGAAAAGUGGACCUUAUUUGCUUUCAAUUUUAUAAUUGUAAUGUAACGUCGAAUUAAUAGUCAAACACGCAAUCAACAAUAGCUAUUCAAUCGUAGAGCUUAAAAUUAUAUAUGAUACACCCCAAGAGAUAUUAUUACUCUUAUUGUUAUAAGAAGACAAUAAUACAAAGUACGAUUGCAAAACGUAUACAUAAACAUGAUUUUUUUUAUAAAAAAGAUCCAAUUAUAUUUAGGAUUAAAAUUCAUGAUGAUCGAUGAUACUGUUACGACAACCAAGUGAAGUUAUUAUAAUCCAUAGACCUUGGGAUGAACAUCUAGUAGUAGAUGCAUAUUUAAUUAUUAAAAAGGAAGACUUCCCCUCUUUUUCUCUUUUUUUCUUUUUAAACGAAAGUUUGCAUAAAAUUUAUAUAACAUUUGUUUGUUAUUCUCUUCAACAAUCAUCUCAACAAGUUAAACUCGAAAGUCCAUUCUAAAUAUCAAAUAGAACCAAUCAGCAGAAGUAUAAUAUGAAUAAAUGUGAAGUUAUACAUCAAUAGUUCACAUGGGAAGACGCUUCUUUCUGCUAUCUACCAUCUUGUAGGGUGACUGUCAACUCAUUAUGGGAGAAGGUUUCUGGUUUGGUGGAGGAGGAAGCUCUGCUUGAGGGGCACCGCCGUACGACGAAAGCUGGUGGUUUCGGAGAUGGAAGAGUUGCGGUUUCGCUUCCGAGCAUGAAUACCACAUUCAACAUGGUGGGUCGAUCCCAUGGAUCUUCCUGCACGCACAACAGCCCCACAUUUAAACACUUCAAAUAUUCAUCUCGUUUGCAAUUCCCGCUCAGUGUUUGCUCCAUUAAAUCCAAGCCUUCGUCUUUCAUCCAUAAAUCCCAAGCCUGAGAACAAAUGAGACUCAUUAUUGAAUCCGAGAUGUGUUGAUAAUGAGAAGUUUAAAAGAAAUUAUCCAACUUACAUAGCCCAGGAGACUCAAAGCUUUCUCCGAGUGAAAGAAUCCAGUGUUCCUUUUUCCACUAAUGAUCUCGAUUACGACUACACCGAAGCUAAAGACAUCAGAUUUGACAGAAAAUAUCCCAUCCAAUGCAUAUUCUGGUGACAUGUAUCCACUGUAUUACCAACAAACAAUUCAAAGAGAUUAUGGGAUGUGAUAUUAUGAAUCUGGUUUGAUCAUUUUUAUUGAAUGAGACUUACUAAGUGCCUACCACCCUUUUAGUAUUUGUGGCAGUUUCUUUCCCUCCAAAUAUCCUCGCCAAGCCAAAGUCGGAUAUUUUGGGAUUCAUCUCCUCAUCUAGAAGAAUAUUGCUCGUCUUCAAAUCUCUAUGGAUAAUUCUCAACCUCGAAUCUUGGUGUAAAUAAAGAAGGCCACGAGCAAUUCCCAAAAUGACGUUGAAGCGCAUGUCCCAAUCCAAUGCCACACUCAUCUUUUGAUCUGGAAAAAGUCAAAUAAAUCCACAAUUCAGCAUAUAAAUGAACAAGGAAGAUAAGAGGAGCAAAGGAAGAUAAUAGUCACAAACCAAAUAUAAAGGCGUCUAAGCUUUUAUUUGGCAUAUAUUCAUAAAGCAACAUCUUUUCAUCUCCUUCAACACAGUAGCCCAAGAGUCUAACGAGAUUUCGAUGCUGAAGUUUAGCAAUUAAUAAAACCUCAUUCUUAAACUCCUCAAAGCCUUGCCCUGAACCACUUGAAAGCCUCUUUACAGCAAUCUCCUGCCCACUAGGAAACUUGCCCUGAAAAUGCAGUGGCUUCAAUAUAUUCCUAAACCAGGACAAGCUUAAAGCAACCAUUAAUGUGUUUCAAGGAUCUAUACCUUGUAAACUGGCCCAAAGCCUCCCUGGCCAAGCUUGUUUGCAUUUGAGAAGUUAUCUGUUGCAACUAGAAUGGUUUCCAAAUCAAAAAAUGGAAUGUCUAUUCCAUUUGUAUCAUCUUCCUUGAAUCGACCGGAUUCAAUCAGGUCUUUGACACGUCUCUCAUUAUCGUACAAGUGAAGCAUUAAAUCUUUUUGGCUGUUUCCCCUGCUUUCUGAGUCCAAAUAGGAUUGACUGUAUUUAGAUUUAAAGGAAAGAGAUGAAAUAAGAAAAGAAGAUUAUUCAGUAAUAAUUGCUGCAUUAAAUCAAAUUUAAAAUUACCUUGUCUUUCAAUGAGCCCACUUUUGGAGAAGUAAAUGUAAAAUACGGUACAUGAGAGAAUCAUCAGAAGGACCAUACAUAAGGAUGUUGCAACAAUAAUCACAGAAAAGGUCGUUUUGCCUUUUCCAUCCUUUCCUUUGUUGUGAUCUACAGAAAUAUCAAUAAGGGACGCUUGGUAUAAGAAAAAUUUGUCCCAGCAUCAACAUCAUUACGAAUGAACAUAACCAGACACUAUGUGAAAUGAUUAUUACCUGUAGUGCAAUUCAAGAUCCAGCCAUUCCAAUGAAAAUCUGUUAUGCAAAGGCAUCUUUUAUUUCCAUCUUUACUCAUGUUGCAAGUUGAAUAAGGCCAGUCUUUGCAGUCCGUAGUUGAAGAACAAAUUGGCUCUAGUGGAGGCUCCCAACUGAUUUCAACUUCAUUGCUAGUUUUCAGAGAAAAAUUCUCCUCGAGAUUGGUCUCCUUAAAGUUGCACCAGCUGGUUACACGGAAAGGAGAUGACUGGUUCAGCUGAAGGGCUUUGGUUAUCCAGUUUUUAUCACCACAAUCACCCGGUUCCUUGGUUUGGAUGUAAAAUUUUCGUGCUUCUGAAUCAAUGAAUUUAACCUUGUAUGUUCCACCUGCUGCUUCAAAGUUUACCUGGCCAGAAGCCAAGUUGCAGUUAAAAUUGAAGUACAUGGGGUCACCGCAUUUAGGUCCUGUGCUAAGUGGAUAAGGAAUGAGGUUUGUUCCACAUGUUCCACAGUUUCUGGCAGUUGAUUCUGCAGCAUUGCAAACUCCAGAACUUCAGAAACACAACUGAAAAUUCAUCAUUUUAAAAAACAUAAACACAAACAUACCUAGGUCUCUAACUGCUACUCGAACAUUGAGGUCACGACCAUCAUCAAACUCAUCCUGAAGAUUGUUGAGAUCUCCAGACCAGAUCCAACAAGCAGAAUUAUAAUUCCCACUCUGCCUUGUGAUAUUAGCUUCCAAAUACGAGUAAGCCUGACACUGGCAGUUGUUAAGGCACUCCAAUUUGCAAUCGAAGUCAUCCUUUGCAUUAAACUGGAAGUCCGGGUUUCCAGCUUUCAUCAUCUUUAGACUCAAAAAAGUGUCACUGUCAGCAUCCACACUGCAUAUUGGUGAUUUCCUAAUGCAUCCACCUGAAUAAUCUCCAAUAUUCCAACUCCCUGGAGAGGUAGGCUCAAAACCAGGCAGGCAUUUGCAAGCCAUACCACACUCACUAUUACAGCUAGCAAAAUCUCCACACGCAUUAUACACACUGCAUCUAUCUCUCGGCUCCACCCAAAUCUGAGACCAGACUUUGUGAUCUUCCCAGUUUAGGUAAUGAAGCUGACCUGAGCUGUUCAAUACUAGCCUUGUAUCAAUAUACAAUGAUGAUGUGAGAUGUGGCACAGAGAAGUUUGGGACAGUUUUCGAUGAGAAAUUUGACAAAAGGUAUAACAAUGCAGCAGGCAUCUUAUCAGUGGUAAUAAACUUACCUGAAACUCCACUUUUCCAGAAUUUAACUGAUCUUUUCCAAAUGACAUAUUGACCUCCGUCCUGAUCUAACUGAAAAGUGAAGUUCCCUUGGGCCGGGUCAUCAUAGCUCUUCCAUGAAGCCAGCACCAAGUUAUCGUCCAUUAACAUGCCAGGAAGAAAUGUAUCAGUUGGAUAAUCGAAACUUUGCCAGAGGAUGUGCUCAGACAAGUCUUCUUGAUCUACAUAGCUCAAAACCAGAUUUCCAUUAUCCAUUAGUUUCAGGGUCCUUUGAUCAGGUACAGAACUUCCAAUGUUUGUUGACCAAUAAAGAUUCUGAUUUCCAUCAUAUACUUUGAGGUUGCCAUCAUCCUCGAUCUUCAAGACACCAUCUGAACUAGGAAGUGGUCUGUCUCGAUUGGCAACCCAAACAACCGUAAUUGGAUUUGAUUUGUAAUACCAUAUUCCCAAGUAUCUUCUGCUAUGAGAGCUGCCAUAUGGCUGAAAGAAUCCAAGUUCGAAUCUCGACCCUGCCGAUACAAGAGUAUCCCCACUCCCAUGACUUAUGCAACUCUUAAACUCUAAGGUAUCUUUAGCAAAGCAAUUAACAACGAAAAUUAAAAACACAAAUGAGUACAAAUGGAAAAAAGACAUCAAAUGCUCUGCAAACCAGCUGAUGGUGACCAAUUUCUUGACACUACUUCUUUUGGCCACCAUUUCACUACUUCUGUUAUGCAACAAACAUGUUCCCUCUCCACUAUUUCUAUCUUCCUCCAUUCAUCCUCGUGAUUUUUUAAAGUGAUUAUAAGAAUAACAAAAAAAAGAUCAGACUCGUGAAGAACAUCUUUCUUUUUAGUUUCAACAACAUUACAAAAAUGUUGCUUUCCCACCUGGCCCACAUGAUCAAGCCAUUUACCAACAAACACUGAGCAUGAUUUAGCAAUUAUAAUAAUAAUGUGAAAACUACUAAAAAAGUUGAAAAAUUAUAUAAAGAAUUCAACAUGAAUAUGUCUAGAACAGAGAGACCGUUCAGACAAAUGACAAAUAUCCUACAAAGAAAGCCAUUUUCUCAGAGUAAAGUUCAAAAGAAAAAUACUCAUUCUUGGUUCAGAUUCCAAACCCAUAUAUUAAGCAAUUUAAUUUACACAACAUGAGUUUACAACUUUUUUCCCCCACUAGCAAGUCCAAAUUGGGGGUUUGUGAUUGUCUAAACUGAAUUAUUGUAAAGCAAAAAUGGGCAACCAAGGUCAAGAUUUACUGUUGUUGUCAAGUUCACCUUUCCAUUAGUGGACCCACUACCCUACUUUUUUUCUCACCAUCUUUAUGAGAGAACGACUAAAGGCAUAGCCUAAGCAAUUUGAUCAACCCUAACUUUUCUUUCAUCAUUAUUUUGGCGGGGCAAUUCUAAUGUAUUAAAAUCAUCUACCGCUUUCAAAUUUUUAAUUGGAAGGAGAGAGACCCACAGAAGACUUUCGUCCAUUGCACGUUCUUUAAUGGUACAGAUGGUGGGAUUCUAUAGCCUGAGGCAAAGCAAAGCAAAGCCAUCGAGCAGUACAAAUUCAUAAAAGAGUCAAAUAUACAAAACCCUAGGCAGGACUCAAACAGAGGUUUGAAAAUUAGAAGUAGAAGAAGACUAUAAGUGGAAGCUAAGCAACUGUGGACUACAAACAAAAGAAGUUGAAAAGAAAAGGAAAUUCAUACCAAUGAUCAACAAUCUUCCGGUUUCUGAUACCCCAUUUUUGACCCUCACUCAAGAAUUCACUUCACUUCACAUUUGGAGAUGAUGACGUCCAACCGACGAUGUUAUGAGCAACUAAAAGCAACUAUUCAAUUCAAAUUUGGCGGUUUCAGUUUUCAAAUUUUAGAAUUUAUAUAUCUAAACUAUAAAUAAGAAAUAUCAUAAAUUUACCAUUUAACUAUAGAAAUGUAUUUGAAUAAACAAAACACAUUUUUUUUAGUUAAUGUGCUAAAAUUGUGCUUAAACAUGAUUGAUCAAUUUUAGCACAUUGACGGGUAUAUAAAAUCAAAUAUCAAGCUGGUGGAAUGAUCGAUCGAUCGAACGACUUAAAGCUCGCCUUGUAAUUUUUGGCAACCACCAGAUUGAGGGUAUUGACUAUAAUGAAACAUUUUGUUCGUGUGACAAAAUUGGUAACUGUGUGAGUAUUUCUUGGAGUAGUUGUAGCUGCAAAGAACUGAGAAUUACAUCAGAUGGAUGUUCACAAUAUAUUCUUCCAUGUUGAUCUAAAUGAACAAGUGUAUAUGAAAUUACCACCUAGGGUUUAUGGGUAAUGCAUAAGGUCUGUUGUUUGUGGUCGCCUCAAGAUAUCUUUGUAUGGCUUACACCAAGCUGCUUCAAGGUGUUACAUUGGUCCAGUUUUAUUUCAAUUACUUGAUAUUUGUGUUGCAUCAAGGACAAGUCCAACUAAAUUAAAUUUCCUUGUAUAUGUUGAUGAUUAAAUUGUUUUAGGAAAUGAUUCUUCCAUUGGCUGCUUCAUUUAAGAAAUAUUUUGGUGAAUGUUUUUCUACAACGGAUUUGGAUAUGUUGAAAUAUUUUCUUGGUAUUGAGGUUGUUUGAAAUAAUGGUGAAAGCAUUUUUGUUUGUCAACGAAAUAAGUACAAUCUUCACAUCAUUUAAAAAAUGAGACUCUUAGGAGCUAACAUGCAAAGUUUCAAAUUUAGCAUAAUCAUCGUGUAGCAUAGCUACUGACAAUCUAUUGUCAAAUUUUGAACAAUAUCAACACUAAUAGGACAUCUCCUAUACUUAUCAUUCACAUGACCUAACUUGGCUUAUGUGGUGUACAUUUUGGCUCAAUUUAUAUUGGCACCAAGACAAGAACAUUGGGAUGGUGCAAUAUGUAUGGCUCGUUAUUUGAAAAGUUAUCCUAACCAAGACAUUCUUCUACACUCCAGUCGCAACCUCUCUCUAUAAGGAAGAUGUGUUUCAGCUUGGACAAGUUGUCCCUUGACUCAUUGCUCGUUUACAUAUUGGCUUGUUUUUCUUGGUAUAAUUCUCUUAUAUCUUGGAAAACCAAGAAGCAACAAAAUGAUGUCUUAACGAUGUCUUGUUUGUCAAUAAAGACUAAGUAUCGCUCCAUGCCCUUGAUAGCUCUCAAGUGGCUUAAAGUGUUGCUUGGAAGCCUUGGGGUGGAUCAUCCAUUUGACAUAAAUAUAUUUUGUGACAUUUAGUUUACACUACAUGUUCCUCAACAGUCUUUCAUAAACAAACUACACACAUAAAUGUGGAUUGUCAUCAUGUUCGUGAUGCUCAUGACACUGUUGCUACGAGUCAAGUUUCUAUAAACAAACAACUUGCAUAUAUCUUUAUGAAAACCUUGGAAAAACAACAACUUAUUUUAUAUUUUCGACCAGUUGGACAUUUGCAAUUCUUCUCAUACUCUAACUUUAAUGUAGAGAUUAAAAACAAAUAAGAAAAUGAUUAAAAACAAUAAUAAAGAAAAUUAAAAGUCAGGAUAAUUAAAGUGUUUUUCAAUAAAUAAAUAAAUAGCCACUUACACUUCCAACAAAAAAAAAAAAAGAAAAAAAAAUUAAACAAAAACUCAUGUACAUAUUUUGACCUCUUUGCCACUUUUUAAUUUAAAACCUCUAGUCUUUUGAAACAUACAGAUAUCAAUUAAGCUAAAAUCAUAUGGUUAAUUAUAUAUAUCUAUAUAAUCUUAUUUUAUAACACAUAUUGAUUAUGUUUAUGAUUAAAAAUAAAAUCACCUUAUAUGUUCAUGUAACUAAUAUUUGUUUUUCAUAAUUAAAAUAAAAUAAUUUAAGAAUUAUUCUAAAUGUCAAAACAUUUGAAAAUAUAACAAAUUUCAUAUUCGGUUACUUUUCAAAUUUCAUAUUCUAUGACUGACAUAUAAAUAUUAUUAAUCGUACUAUAUUUGAAAAUGUAAAAGAAAAAAAUCUUUUUAAAUUCCAGAUAGGUAAUAUCUCCCAUAGUUAUCAAAAUAACAAAACAAUAUAAAAAAUAUUAGGUUGAGAACCAAGAGCUUGUGUUCAAUUUUCCUACUCCAAUUACAUAAAUAGAAAAAAAUAAAAAGUAUUUACAUCGCGUAACAAAAAAAAAUUGUGUUUGGGUUAAAAUUUUGGUUAUCCAUUUUGAACUUGGAUUAAAAUUGUGGUAUGGAGACCGUAAAUAGUUUGUCCCGAUGAGAAUGACCAAUUUAAAGAAUAUUAAGAUUUAGAGUUGUAACUUCUUUUUUUACUUUUUUU
RNAcentral lists this long non-coding RNA (11719 nucleotides) under Cucumis sativus (cucumber). RNAcentral's name for it is "long non-coding RNA (CSAT_LNC002615)". The record is from RNAcentral. Lineage: Eukaryota; Viridiplantae; Streptophyta; Magnoliopsida; Cucurbitales; Cucurbitaceae.